UAAAACGUAGGGGGCAAGCGUUGCCCGGAUUCACUGGGCGUAAAGCGCGUGUAGGCGGUCCGUUAAGUCGGGUGUGAAAUCUCCAGGCUCAACCUGGAAAGUGCACCCGAUACUGGCGGACUUGAGGACGGUAGAGGUCGGUGGAAUGCCGAGUGUACCGGUGAAAUGGACAGAUAUUCGGCGGAACACCAGUGGCGAAGGCGGCCGACUGGGCCGUUCCUGACGCUGAGACGCGAAAGCCAGGGGAGCGAACCGGAUUAGAUACCCGGGUAGUCCUGGCCGUAAACGGUGCGGACUAGGUGUGGGGGGCUUCAUGCCUUCUGUGCCGGAGCUAACGCAUUAAGUCCGCCGCCUGGGGAGUACGGCCGCAAGGCUA
RNAcentral lists this ribosomal RNA (376 nucleotides) under uncultured bacterium. RNAcentral describes it as "bacterial SSU rRNA". It matches the Rfam family "Bacterial small subunit ribosomal RNA", at positions 521 to 896 of the family's 1533-position model. The record is from RNAcentral.